RNAcentral lists this ribosomal RNA (253 nucleotides) under uncultured bacterium. Its description in RNAcentral is "partial 16S ribosomal RNA". It matches the Rfam family "Bacterial small subunit ribosomal RNA", at positions 524 to 776 of the family's 1533-position model. The record is from RNAcentral.
UACAGAGAGUGCAAGCGUUAAUCGGAAUUACUGGGCGUAAAGCGCGCGUAGGUGGAUAUUUAAGUCAAGUGUGAAAGCCCUGGGCUCAACCCGGGAAUUGCGUUUGAUACUGGGUAUCUAGAGUAUAGUAGAGGGAAGUGGAAUUUCCGGUGUAGUGGUGAAAUACGUAGAUAUCGGAAGGAACACCAGUGGCGAAGGCGGCUUCCUGGACUAAUACUGACACUGAGGUGCGAAAGCGUGGGGAGCAAACAGG